ACACUUACCUGGCACGAGAGACACCACAAUCACGAGAGUGGUUUUUCCCACGGUGGCAAGGCUCACCUAUUGCACUGGGGGUGUGCUGACCCCUGUGAUUUCCCCAAAUGUGGGUAACUCAACUACAUAAUUUGUGGUAGUGAAAGACUGCUUUUGAGCCUCCC
Molecule: small nuclear RNA, 164 nt
Filed under: Meriones unguiculatus (Mongolian gerbil)
Lineage: Eukaryota; Metazoa; Chordata; Mammalia; Rodentia; Muridae
Description: U1 spliceosomal RNA (ENSMUGG00000010108.1)
Rfam family: U1 spliceosomal RNA
About the family: U1 is a small nuclear RNA (snRNA) component of the spliceosome (involved in pre-mRNA splicing). Its 5' end forms complementary base pairs with the 5' splice junction, thus defining the 5' donor site of an intron.
Source: RNAcentral